Molecule: long non-coding RNA, 835 nt
Filed under: Pan troglodytes (chimpanzee)
Lineage: Eukaryota; Metazoa; Chordata; Mammalia; Primates; Hominidae
Description: lincRNA
Source: RNAcentral
CCUUGAGCUGUGGUGGGCUCCACCCAGUUCGAGCUUCCCGGCUGCUUUGUUUACCUAAGCAAGCCUGGGCAAUGGCGGGCGCCCCUCCCCCAGCCUCGCUGCCGCCUUGCAGUUUGAUCUCAGACUGCUGUGCUAGCAAUCAGCGAGACUCCGUGGGCGUAGGACCCUCCGAGCCAGAGUGUGAUUUUGAAGAAAGGAGGAAAGAUGUGAAAAGUGAUUAGUCAGCCACAUUCAUGGUGUUGAGAAAAGAAUUUGCUUUUCUGGAACAUAGCCUGUGAUAGCAGAACAACACCUGGCAAGAAACAGGUUAUGUUUGGCUGGAGAGUCAUUGGCACUAUCAAGAAAUAUUAAAGUGUAGAUUUGAGAGAGGAGGAGAAAGACCCAAGCAAAAUUGAAAACCAGGUGGGACCCAGACAGCAGCAAAGCAAUGGAAGCAUGUAUUUUGGUCAAUAUAGAGUUAAUACACAAUUUUGCCCCUCUUCUUCUGAUCAUGGGACUCAUAUUACCAGUCUUCACAUUUCCUUUAAAUUCAGGAAUCAGGAAGAAUUUCCAGAGUUUGCAGAUAGGGACACAUUUGCUGCUUCCAUUCUAAACAUAAGUUAUAAGACAUUUUCAACUGGAUUCCAACUUUAAUAUGUCACAAACAUAAAAAAGAAAGCUAUUUCCUGGACUUUUCUUCGUUAGAAAUUAAUAGAUUGUCAAUUGGCAUAGGGAAAAGAUUAUCAACAGAUGCCAACCCCAAGUUAACAGAAAUGCUAAAAUUAUAAGACAAAGACUUCAAAAUAGCUAUUUUAAUUUUGCUUAGUGAGGUAAAUGCAAACAUGCUCACUAUGAA